Molecule: ribosomal RNA, 2322 nt
Filed under: bacterium
Lineage: Bacteria
Description: partial 23S ribosomal RNA
Rfam family: Bacterial large subunit ribosomal RNA
Source: RNAcentral
GGCGGGGGGAACAAGAGCGUAUGGUGGAUGCCUUGGCUUCAAACGGCGAUGAAGGACGUGGCGUGCCUGCGAUAAGCGUCGGGGAGGUGGCGAGCAACCUUUGAUCCGGCGAUGUCCGAAUGGGGAAACCCCUUUGCCUGAAAACGGCAUUGAUCUGCCCAAGUUUUUAGACUUUUAAGAAAAAAUUAAGGGGGUUCCCAUGGGAACCCCGUAUCGGUAUCUGAUCAACCUGCUGAAAGAGGAGUUAUCACGCGUUCCAGUACAAAUACAAUUGUGGUCUGGAUCACACGUGAAUCCUCCCCCUGAAUAUACUUCUGAUAGACCGUCGUCGGUCCGAAUGUUUGCGAAACAAUCUUGAAUCCGCUAGAAAGUAACGGACCUAAUUGUGCAUCGAUCUGAUUUUGGAUUGAAGAGUGGUUAUUCCAAUGAUCGUGGUGCUCAAUGACAACUACUCUUUGCUCCAUAUCAUAACUCCUUAAGCUAGGGUGGGGUGGAUCAGUUAAGUAAUUAGUAGCAUGUUUAGUAUUUAGUGUCAAGAGUCUAAAAACUUGGGCAGAGGCGAACCCGCUGAAGUAAAACAUUUCAGUAAGCGGAGGAAAAGAAAAAAAUUGCGAAGCAAUUUUUCAGAUAUCGAUAUAUCGAAAUUUCGAUAUUUGGAAUUUUGCUUCGCUUCAUUCCCUUAGUAGCGGCGAGCGAAAAGGGAAGAGCCCAAACCUGCUUGAAAUAUCGAUAUUUCGAAAUUUCGAGUGGGGGUUGUAAGGUAGCGACUUCGAUUUAAUUCGAGAAAGCGAGAAGUUACAUGGUUAGGAGAACGGUCCUGGAAAGGCCGGCCAAAGAGGGUGAUAGCCCCGUAAACGAAAAUUAAUGUACGCUUUUUGUUGCUAUUCUUGAGUACUGCCCCGUACGGAGACUGGGCAGGAAACCGCCAGGACUAGUCUGGCAAGGCUAAAUACGUUUGAAGACCGAUAGUGAACAAGUACCGUGAGGGAAAGGUGAAAAGCAGCCCGAUGAGGGCGGUGAAAUAGUACCUGAAACCAUAUGCUUACAAGGAGUGGGAGCCCGUGCCUCACUAGCGUUCGGCACGGAAUUUUCAAUUUACAAUUCUCAAUUUUCAAAGAAUGAUCAAGUUUCAAUUCUCAAACGUUUGAAAAUUGAUUGAAAAUUGCAAAAUUGAUAAUUGAAAAUUCCCGUAACGAGCGGUAGCGAGGUACGGGUGACCGCGUGCCUAUUGAAGAAUGAGCCAACGAGUUUUUGGAUUUUACUCGUCUAAGCGGGUGAUUCCGCGAAGGCAAAGGGAAACCGAGUGUUAAUAGCGCGUUUAAGACUUCAGGUUUUAGGUGUCAGAUUUUAGGUUAUGAACAACAAAAAAUCCAACUUGAACUUCAAGUUGGAUGAUAUGGAUUAGUUUGAUGUAAAUAUGGUAAGCAUAUACGUCUUUAUUGCAUCAGAAAGAUCAAAAGAAGAGACGGCAGAGGGAGUUGAGCGAGAAGGAAGAGGAAUUUCGAGGAAAAGCGUAAGUAACAAAAAACCAGCGCCAAAUAGGGAGAGGAAAAAGAGAAGUCCAAGUGGGGAAAAGAACCAAUCAGAGAAAUCGUCAAAUUUCUUGCGUAAUUUUUUCACAGGAUAACCUCCUCAAUAUAAGGCUAAUGUUCACAAACAACUAAUUAGUAUAGUAGACUUUUACUUCAGAAAGUCAAGGUAAGCGUUCAUAAUUUGCAAUCUGGCACCUAUUGCCUGAUGUCUUUAGGUAGAAUUCAAAAGACCCGAAACCAGGUGAGCUUGCCAUGGGCAGGGUGAACUCUGGGUAACACCAGAGGGAGGCCCGAACCGGUGGAUCGUUCAACGUCCUCGGAUGACCUGUGGUAAGGAGUGAAAAGCUAAUCGAACCUGGAAAUAGCUGGUUCUCUGCGAAAUAGUUUUAGGACUAGCCCCGGAUCAUACGAUGCAGGAGGUAGAGCUACUGGAUGGUCUGUAAUUGCCGAAAGGCAGGCAGACCAACCAAACUCCGAAUGCCUGUAGGGUCUCGCACAAAGUAACUUUUCGUGACGAAAUUUCAAAAUUUUGAGCGAGCCGCAUGAAGGAUGAGGAAGGCGCACUUGGAAAAGUGCGACGACGAAUCCUGAAUGCGGCGUAGCCAAAAUUUUGAAAUUGCAGUAGAAAAGGUUAUUUUGUGCGAGACCCAUGUUAUUCCGGGAGUCAGCAGGCGGGGGCUAAGCUCCGUCGUGCAAGAGGGGAAGAGCCCAGACCGUCAACUAAGGUCCCUAAAUCUACGCUAAGUGGGGAAGGAGGUGGAGUUUCUCAAACAGCGAGGAGGUUGGCUUA